This 252-nucleotide ribosomal RNA is filed under the name uncultured bacterium. RNAcentral's name for it is "partial 16S ribosomal RNA". It matches the Rfam family "Bacterial small subunit ribosomal RNA", at positions 525 to 776 of the family's 1533-position model. The record is from RNAcentral.
ACGGAGGGGGCUAGCGUUGUUCGGAAUUACUGGGCGUAAAGCGCGCGUAGGCGGAUUAGUAAGUUAGGGGUGAAAUCCCACGGCUCAACCGUGGAACUGCCUUUAAUACUGCUAGUCUUGAGUUCGAGAGAGGUGAGUGGAAUUCCGAGUGUAGAGGUGAAAUUCGUAGAUAUUCGGAGGAACACCAGUGGCGAAGGCGGCUCACUGGCUCGAUACUGACGCUGAGGUGCGAAAGCGUGGGGAGCAAACAGG